Molecule: unclassified non-coding RNA, 1403 nt
Filed under: Portunus trituberculatus (swimming crab)
Lineage: Eukaryota; Metazoa; Arthropoda; Malacostraca; Decapoda; Portunidae
Description: nuclear distribution protein nudE-like 1, transcript variant X16
Source: RNAcentral
GUCUGCUGGCUCAGUCGACAGGCAGCUGCGGGAGGGGGAGGGUGUGUGUCUCUGUUUCUCCUGACUCUGCCUGAUUUAACCCGUUACUGACCUUCGCGUUUGAAAAUUCGCAUACGUAACUAUGUAUCAGUUGAAGUGACUGUAGGGCGUGUGUGCCGAGGAUUUUUGGAGCGAAGUGCAAGGCGGAAGACAGUUUAUUGGCCAGUCUGUGUGUCUAUUUGCUUCUGUUCUUGGAUUCGCCUCCCACGCACAGCUGACCUGACCUCUGACCUCCCCCAGGCGUCGCCAUGAACGGGGAAGCGGUGCCCAGUUUUUCCUCCCCUGAGCAGGAGGCGGAGUACUGGAGGAAGAAGGCCACGGAGUACAAACAAAGCCUGGAGGAAACCCGUGAGGAGCUGGAGGAGUUUCAGAGUGGCAGCAGGGAACUGGAGGCGGAGCUGGAGGCACAGUUGGAGCAGACAGAAAGAAGGUGUUCGGAGUACCAGGCGCAGCUGAAUCGAGUAGCUGUAGAAAAUGAUUCCCUUAAGGAGCGUCUGGAGAGGCUACAAAAUGAGUUCAAUGGGCAAGUCAACACACUGCAGUCCGAGCUGGUGGACCUUAAGAGCAUCCAGGAGGACCUCACCCGCUACAUCAGGGAGCUGGAGCAGUCUAAUGAUGACCUGGAGCGAGCUAAAAGAGCUACAGUGACAUCCUUAGAGGACUUUGAGGCCAGACUGAACCUGGCCAUCGAGCGCAAUGCCUUCCUAGAGUCUGAACUGGACGAGAAGGAGGACCUCAAGGUGACGGUGCAGAGGCUGAAGGAUGAGGCCAGAGACCUGCGUCAGGAACUCAGCAUCAAGGACUGCCCCGAGCCUGACAAUGACAAGGCCCUCAUGAACCACCACAACCACCAGUCCACUUCACCCCAGAAGCUGCACAUCAAAACCCCUCCUAAGCUUGAUGUGGCACUCCCUGCAUCUCCAGCAGGAGGAGCAGGCAUGGACUCCAAUAAGCUGGUUUCCAAUGGUACCCAGCUGACAGAUACAGUCCCUGCCACCCCUGUUGUCAUAUCCUCGACCUUGCACAACAACAACAACAGCAAUAACAUGAGUAAUGGCAGUGUACCCAUGACUCCCUCAGCAAGAAUAUCCGCACUCAAUAUCGUGGGGGAUCUCCUAAGAAAAGUUGGGGCCCUGGAGUCCCGGCUUGCCUCCUGCCGCACCUUGGUGAAGGACAACCAGCGCCCCCUCGGCCUGCCAGCGCCAGGCAACCACUCCACCAGAUAAAAAUUCAGCAGAUAAACCGAGACUUGAAUAGGGUGAACUCAGUAUUCAGAGCAGACAGAAACAGCUGACAUGCACCCCCUCCCCCACCUCCCCCACCAGCAGCCACCACCCCCACCAUCACCAUCCUCGCACCACCGU